AGUGAACGCUGGCGGCGUGCUUAACACAUGCAAGUCGAACGAGAACGGAAUAUAGCUUGCUAUAUUUGUCAGCUAAGUGGCGCACGGGUGAGUAAUGUAUAGAUAACCUGCCCUUAAGAAAGGAAUAACAGUUGGAAACGACUGCUAAUGCCCUAUAUGCCUUUAAUACAUAAGUAUGCAAGGGAAACGCUUUAGUGCUUAAGGAUGGGUCUGAAUAGUAUAAGCUUGUUGGUGAGGUAAUGGCUCACCAAGGCUAUGACGCCUAACUGGUUUGAGAGGAUGAUCAGUCACACUGGAACUGAGACACGGUCCAGACUCCUACGGGAGGCAGCAGUGGGGAAUAUUGCACAAUGGACGAAAGUCUGAUGCAGCAACGCCGCGUGGAGGAUGACACAUUUCGGUGCGUAAACUCCUUUUAUAUAGGAAGAUAAUGACGGUACUAUAUGAAUAAGCACCGGCUAACUCCGUGCCAGCAGCCGCCGUAA
RNAcentral lists this ribosomal RNA (485 nucleotides) under uncultured bacterium. Its description in RNAcentral is "partial 16S ribosomal RNA". It matches the Rfam family "Bacterial small subunit ribosomal RNA", at positions 29 to 523 of the family's 1533-position model. The record is from RNAcentral.